UAUAAUUAAAAAAAAAGAAAAAAAAAAAAAAAAAAUGAAAGUAAUUAUGGUAUUAAUUUUUUUUGUAAUUUUUAUAUAUUUAUAUGAUAUUAGAAGAUACAUUUUUAACAAUACUGUUAUGAAUGUGUAUGCAACUGAAUAUGUAGAUAAAAUAAAUGUUAAUAGUUAUGGUAAUCUUAAUUUAUAUAAUUGUUUUUUAAUGGGAAAUAAAUGCACUAAUGGUCUAUUAAAAACUGAAGAAAAAAAAGAAGAAGAAAAAGAAGAAGAAGAAGAUGAAGAAGAAGAAAAAGAAGAAGAAUGUCCACAUAUGCCAGUUGCAGAUUUGAUUGGUUUGCCGCCAUCUGAUGCGAAAGAUAGAUUAUAUGCAUCAUCAUAUUCAGGCAAUAAUGAUAAAGAAAAGUUACAUCAUGAAACUAAAAGAAAUGGAGAUGAAUAUGCAUGUGGUAACCAGGAUCAAAACGUGUUAACCUCUGUUGGCUAUUUUGAUAAUAAAAAUAAAAUAACUAAUACAUAUGAACAUCCACAAUAUGAAAACAUAAAUAAAAAAAAUGAAUACCUUAAUGGUAUUAAUGUUAAAAUGGAGGAUAUAUGUACAUCAAAACUAGAUUUGACACAGCAUCCCUCAUAUGGUGCAUUUUUUGUAGGUAAAAAUGAAUUUCCACGUUUAACAGAUACAUAUUAUGGAUAUACUGAUGUAGAAAAGGAAGGAUUUGUAGAUAGUAAAUGUUGGUACGAAAAUAUGAUGUCUACAAGUUCUCGUGGAGUUUCUGAGACUAUUCAAACUAAUGAUUAUGUUCAGAAUACAAAUUUAAAUGGCGAUAUGGAUAAUUUAUAUCAGAAUGCAUUAUCUGAUUUAUUUACAGUUUUAAAAGAAUGUGAAUGUCCUAAUAAUGCUAAUUUUCCUUGGUAUUUUCCACAGGGUUGUGUGUCAUUUGCAAAAAUACAAAACAAUCAACAUGUAGAAUGUAAAAGUGGAGUGCAAGUAGAAUGCGUAGGUGAAAUAGAUACAACAGAAUGUAGCGGAACUGGUGAAUAUGGAGAAGUCGGAGAAUAUCAAGAAGUCGGAGAAUAUCAAGAAGUCGGAGAAUAUGGCGAAUACGGAGAAUAUGACAGCGACGAAGAAUGUGAUAAAGACAAAGAAUAUUACGGAUACGACGGAGAAGGCGAUUUUGACGCAGGCGGGAAAUAUGACGAAGACCAAGAAGAUGACGGUGAAGAUGAAAAUGAAGAUCAGAAAGACGACAAAAAAAAAAAACAGGAAGAAUCUGAUGAAUCUGACGAAUGUGACGAAUGUGACGAAUGUGACGAAUGUGACGAAUGUGACGAAUGUGACGAAUGUGACGAAUGUGACGAGUGUGAAGAAUGUAUAGAAUGUGAAGAAUGUGAAGUAUGUGACGAUUGUGUAGAAUGUGAAGAUUGUGAAGACUGUAGUGAUUGUGACGAGUGUAUAGAAUGUGAAGAUUGUGAAGAUUGUGAAGAAUGUGAAGAAUGUGAAGAAUAUUACGAAUGUUACGAAUGUUACGAAUGUAAAGAAUCUGACGAAGAUAAAGAUUAUGACCAACGUGAGGAUUUGGAAGAAUGUGAGUAUUAUGACCAACGUGAGGAUUUUGAACAACGUGAGGAUUUUGAACAAUAUGAGGAUUAUGAAGAAUGUGAGGAUUUUGAACAAUAUGAGGAUUAUGAAGAAUGUGAGGAUUAUGAAGAAUGUGAGGAUUAUCAAGAAUGUGAGGAUUAUCAAGAAUGUGGUGAUUUUGAACAAUAUAGUAAUUAUAUGGGUUAUGGUGAAUGUUAUGAUGGCCCAUAUGAAGAAUGUGACACAUACGAUGAAGAGAUUCUAGAAUUAAGUAAAUACCCAUGUUUGCUAAAAUAUCUAAUGUAUGAUGAUGGAAGAUGGGGAACAGGAUAUGAACAAGAGUGUGUACAAGAACUAGAAGAAGAAGGACUACAAUAUCAAGAACACAUACAUUGGCAAAAAGAAUUACAACAACAGCUACAACAACAACUAGAACAACAAAGACACCAGAGGUGUGGAUAUUAUAAUAGAAACGAUGAGGAAGAAAAAGAAGACUGUGAAGAAGAAGAGGAAGAGUGUGUGGAAGGGGAAGAAGAUGAAGAAGAGGAAGAGUGUGGGGAAGAAGAAGAAGAAGAAGAAGAGGAAGAGUGUUUGGAAGAAGAAGAAGAAGAGGAAGAGUGUGGGGAAGAGGAAGAGUGUUGGAAAGAAAGAUUUAAUGGAAAACAUGGGGACAAAACACAUUCAUACAAUUAUUUGUUUUUGAAACAUUUAAAUAUUGAUUAGCAAUGUCGAAAAUAAGAUGACGAUGGCGAUAAUUUAAUAAAAAUUAAAAUAAAAAGAUUAAAGAAAACA
Molecule: long non-coding RNA, 2365 nt
Organism: Piliocolobus tephrosceles (Ugandan red Colobus)
Lineage: Eukaryota; Metazoa; Chordata; Mammalia; Primates; Cercopithecidae
Source: Ensembl